This 253-nucleotide ribosomal RNA is filed under the name uncultured bacterium. RNAcentral describes it as "partial 16S ribosomal RNA". It matches the Rfam family "Bacterial small subunit ribosomal RNA", at positions 524 to 776 of the family's 1533-position model. The record is from RNAcentral.
AACGUAGGGGGCGAGCGUUGUCCGGAAUUACUGGGCGUAAAGGGAGUGUAGGCGGCUCUGUGUGUCCUGCGUGAAAGGCGCCGGCUUAACCGGCGAAGGUCGUGGGAAACUGCAGGGCUUGAGUGCCGGAGAGGGUAGUGGAAUUCCCGGUGUAGCGGUGAAAUGCGUAGAUAUCACGAGGAACACCGGAGGUGUAGACGGGUGACUGGACGGAGACUGACGCUGAGGCACGAAAGCGUGGGGAGCAAACAGG